This is a non-coding RNA of Macaca mulatta (Rhesus monkey), 5098 nucleotides long. Lineage: Eukaryota; Metazoa; Chordata; Mammalia; Primates; Cercopithecidae. The record is from RefSeq and is a predicted model, not a curated record.
UCUUCUGAUCUCGUGAUCCGCCUGCCUCGACCUCCCAAAGCGCUGGGAUUACAGGCGUGAGCCACCGCGCCCUGCCCCAAUGCAGCUUUUAAAGGGACGUGCAACCCCAGUUGCUUUCUGGGCGGCCUUAGCAGCAGAAGCACCUGCAGUCAGCGCCCACUAGGUGGAGACAGAGUCCCCGAGAUUCCGGCAGCAGCUUCACUCACUCCGGAACGCCAGGCUCCUGGGUCCCGGCUCCGAGGGCUCCUGUUCUAGAAAUAAACGUCCGGGACCCCAGCUCCCCUUCCAGACCAGCCAGAGUCUGUCCCCACUGAUAACUCACGUUUAUAGGGUCAUGGUGUUUAGAAGGCUGGUUCACAUCGUUCCUCUAGUCGGCUGCACACUCGUCCUGAGGAUGGGUGGACCAGGUAUUGCUGACCCCAGUCUUAUGGUUGAGGAAGUGGAGCCGUCGGGAGCCUUUGAGAUGCAGUGAAGGUCACGCGGUGCACAGCAGAGCUGGCCUCAAAUCUAGGUCCCCUCGACUGAAUCCCAGAUUCGACCACAUCUCAGCCGCCCCUCUUCUCUGGGGCGCAUGGCAGCCACCAGGCUAUUUGGCAUCAGAGUGGAGCCUGGAUGCAAGCUUGGUUCCUUGGGUCUGCAUGCUGCACCCUGAUGGGGCCCAUCUGGUCUUCAGAGAGCUGCUGUGCCCCAAGGCCAAGGCCCAGCUCUGCCUCAGGGGAUUUGAGGGCACUCAGAGAUGCAGGCAAGGACAGCGGUGUGUUUAUGGGCACUUCUGUACCCCAGAAUGGGAGAACCGGCGGGGCUUGACCACACGGGAGUCCUCUCCCCAGACAUCCCUGGGUGUGUGAGUGCUGGGGGGAAGUGGGGACUGGCGUCGAAGGUCUGACUUAGACCUGCUUGGUAAAGGCUGAGAAUGAAGGAAAGCCUGUAUUCCCAAAGUUGCCAGCAAAUUCUGGACAAGCAGGUGAAUGAGGCAGAAGAGCUGAGAGCAAAAAAGCAGUUUCAGUUCCACUUAGGGAAUGGCUUCCUUUCUUGUGGCAAGGGGUAGAAGUUAUGGGAACACACAACAGAAACUGUCAAACCUGGCUGGCUGGGGACAAGUGGGGUGGCCAUCUCCUCCAUGGACAGCAUGCCUGAGACACCACCUACCAGCUAUGGAGUCACAGCCUCAGUUUGCCCAUCUGUAAAAUGAGGCCAGCGCACGGCACCUCAUCCCACAAGUGAAGGCUGAACGGCAGCAUUCUGAGUGUGCUGUGAAUAGCUGAUUCCUCUGGUUGGUGAGCUGUUGUGUGUUGGGUGCUCCCACUCUGUCACAGAGUCAGAAUAAGAGGAGCCCCGUUGGGUGCCGGGGUAGCUAUGGCUGAAGCCAAUGAUUUCUCACGUCGUCUGGCCCUGGAGACUCAGUCAGGGUGGUGGGUAAUGGGCCCGGUGCCAGGCUGCAUCUCUGCACCCCGCCUCCCUAGGAAGACAUGAGGGAACGGGUGCAGCCAGCCGGUGUACAGUUGGGAGCGGCUGAACGCAGCGUGGCUUUGCUAUUAAUGUAGUCAGUAAAUAAAUAAAGGAGGGCUUAAGCUUAGUGUACAGCAAUCAGUUUAGAACUACAGGGUAAUUAGCGCUGCAGGGGGCCGCAGGGCUGCAGAGUCAGGUUUAAAUGAGCGAGUUCACUUUCACUGAGGCACCCCCUGGGGAGCAGAAAACGCAGCCUGGAGAGGAACCUGCCCUCCUGCCAGCCCACGAGUGGAAGUGGGGAUGGCGGCGGGGCUGGGCCUGAAACCACACAGAGAGCUGGGGGAUGGACCUGCCCCCAUGGGCCAAGGACCAGGUGUCUACAUGUGCACCCCCUCACCCCCUUUCCUGCCCCACAUCCUGCCCAGCAACACCCAGGCAGCUCCCAACUAUGAAGUGCCACUGCCCUGUUGCCUCCUGCUCCUUCUUCUGGCAUGUGGCAGACACGGGUCAGUCAGGUGGUCUAUGAAUCGACAUGAGCACACGUGUGGGGAUGCAGGAGUCCCCCACUGGGCCUCUGCCGCGUGUGUACACGUGUCCUGGGGAGGUGCCCGAGUGCGCAUGUGAUGUUCCUCCAUCCCUGCUUUCACUCGCCCCUGACAACUGCAACAUGCGCCCUGGAGUGCUAAUUACCUCUCUGUUUCCCUCCGUCUCCCUCUCCUUCUUUCAGCCAUUUAUACAACAAAGAUUUACCAGGUGCCUGUCAUGUGCCAGGCAGCGUGAGGCUCUGGGAACACAAAGAUAGACAGCACACAGUUCCUGACCUCAAGGAACUGACAGUCUGGUCGUGGUGACAGUGAAGGAAACAGAGUACUGAGGAGUCACCGGGGACUCUCAUCCAGGGAGCGACAUGAUACUAUUUGCAUUUCUGGAAAAUCGCUCUGGGCGGCAAACAAAGCAGAGGAUGGAAGCGAGAGAGAGGGCCUGGGCCGAGGCAGAGCACUGAGUCCCCACACAGAAAUCUUAAUUCCUCUACCGUGUUCCCCACACAAGAAAAGGCAAAAAGAAAAAAAAGACAAAAAAAACCAAGUACUUCAAUAAAAAGGUGGGACGCUUCAAGCGAGAGACAACUGAAUUAACUUUAUUCUCUUCUAACUGCAGAUUCAAGAAACACUGAAAUUACAAAGAAACGCGUCAAUCUACACGAAACGAAGGCAGAUGCGGAAAGCUGCAACCAGGACUGCACAACUUUGAGUGAAACUGCUUCGGAACUAGAACAGAUAAGGAGCGGCAAGCACAACUCGGGGAAGUGGGCUGGGGAGGGGCAGCAGGAGGCAGGAGAGAGGGAGAGAGAAUGGAGCCGACAGAAAUGAGAGGGGGAGCCAGAGGGAGGAGGGGAGGGCGGGAGGGGCAGACGGAGAGGGCAAGGGUGAGAGGUGGGGAGGAGAGAAAGAGAAAGAGAUUGAUUUGUACAAAAAAGUAACCAGUAAAAUUGAAGAAACAAAAUUGGGCAACCUCCUAAAAUUAGGCUAAGAGGAGGUGCUGAGGUAGACAUUAACUAGAACAUCGAUGAAUUAAAAACACUAUUAUGUAAUACAGAGCAAUCCGACUGGCACUUGUGCUGUCACGACAUAAGACAAGCCACGAAAACAAACAAAUAACAAAACAAAACAUAAUACCCAAACCAAAAGGCUUAGUUUUGCUUGGUCCAGCAGGGCAGCAGGGCCCUCAGUGCUAUAAUUUACAUACAUAUAUAUAUAUAUUUAUCUUUAUUUAUAUGGGUCGGAUGUCAUGGUGCACCACCACGGUUUCUUAACCUUACGAAGAUCAUGCAUAACACUAUGUGAACAAAUCCUAUGAUACACACCAGGAGGCUGGUACCCUGUCUGCGAAGUGGGAUGCCAAGGGCCCAGGGAGGCCGCAGCUGCUGGCUAACCGGCCUGCAGGGCCUGCACCCCUCUUUCUCCCUGCCUUCUUCCCCCGACCCAACCUCUCUGGUUUGUCCUGCGCCCCUCUCCUGGCCAUCUCUGCCUUUUUCCUCUCCCCAUCCGUCCCACCACAUAGGGUGAGUCUCGCUUUUCGUCCUCCCACUGAAAUAUCCAGGUAAGUGCCACCAUUACAGCCAAGUCGGCAGAGGCUCCAGAAAGGAGGAGGUAAGAUGGGAGGGGGAAAGAUGACCACAGGAUGGGCCUAGGAAAAGUGAAUGGACAGAGUCUAAUCUUCUGCUUUUCUGUCUCACAUCCUGGUGCACCCCCAGUUUUCACCCUAGCUCGGCUUGCCGGGAAACAGGCCCCAAAAUUACCCCGACCCUGCCACCCUUCAUGGACAGAGUCGAAAGGCUGCCCCACCUCUGCUCACUCCUCUAUAAGGAGGUAAGCUCAGCGGCCCUCUUCCGUCCACAGCGGUUGUACCAAUAGCAUCCAGAAAGGUACCAUACACUUGUGAAAAAUUGCAGCAGUUUUGUUUCUUUUUUUCUCAACAUGGAAAAACUGUUCAGGCACAAAGAUUAAACAAGCCCACGUUGCACCCCUUGGAUUGUACUGAAUCACUGGGUCCCCCAGCCUCCCUACCCACCCCUGCACCCCAGAUCUGCCUUCCCCAUAUUCAUGGCCUCCUCCUCCAAAGCAGCCCAAAGCAGCAAUGAUAUUUACUAUUUUAUAUCAAUCUCUUGCUCUAUAUAUAUAUCUAUAUAUCUAUAUAUUUGUCUAUCCUAUAUAUACAUAGGAUUUUAAUGCUUUGAAUGAGUGAAGGAGUGAACAGGGAAAGAGCACAUGAGUGGGGUGUAAAUGUCACCAAACGCAUUAAGGGACACACUUGUAGGAGCUGGACACAGGAAAGGGACUAUUAGCCAACGUGGCCUUGCCAGGCUGGAGAAGUUUUUCACUGUGCUGGAUAAGGCAGUAGCAAGCAGGGUUGCCAGCAGUGCCACAGCUAAAGGCAGCCAGGUGGCCAAAGGAGUCAGACGGCGCCAAGAGGAGGGGAGGACAGAUAUUCAGAUCCCACCUGGGGAGAGACCUCCCUCUACCCUUCUCCUCUCCCCUCAACUCCAGACACAUAUAAAGCCUCCAGACAGCCUCUUAGCUUGCCCCCGGCCACUAGGCCUUGCAACAUUAGAACUGUUCCGUUGUUGUGGGUAGGAAGUUGGAGAAGAGGCAUGUUAGACUCUAUUCAGGUGUCUUCACGGGGAGAGGAGGGUACAGCAAAUUCAGAGGUGUCCCCAAACAGUAGCCCUCAGAAACCACACUCCUCUGAGCUCUCCCCCUACCUCUCUACUGGGGUCUGCAGGGCCCAUCGGGUUGGGCGGGGCGUCCGGGUGCUGAUUUAGUACCAUCCAAUGCUGCAACACCAGAUUACGACAAUACUGCAUGAUUUAACACACAACCACACACACAAAGCACACACGCACACGCACACACAUGUACAAAGGGAUAUUUUGGUGGUGGUGGACUUUUUUUUGUCUUUUGUCUUCCUAUUCACAUUACAAAAGGAAAGGGCAAGGUUCUGCAGAACUGACGAAGGAACUAACAGAUACUACAAAAAUAUUACAAUUUGUAAAGAUUAGCUCAACCCUCUCAGCUUUUAUGAAUGGAGGGGGGAGGGGCCCAGGCUGAGUGGGAAGGGCAAGGGAGUGAGGGGGUAAGCUAGUUCUAUG